Molecule: non-coding RNA, 135 nt
Organism: Triticum aestivum (bread wheat)
Lineage: Eukaryota; Viridiplantae; Streptophyta; Magnoliopsida; Poales; Poaceae
Source: Rfam
UUAGAACUCCCUCCGUCCCAAAAUUCUUGUCUUAUAUUUGUCUACGUAGGGAAGUAUCUAACACUAAAACAUGACUAGAUACAUCCAUAUUUAGACAAAUCAAAGACAAGAAUUUUGGGACGUGGGGAGUAUUAA